AAAAAAAAUCUUAAAAAAAAUAAAAGAGUUCUGGGGUGGUGUGUGAAGGACUGGGCCAGGGUGAGCAGCCCAGUCUUCUACGCCCAUCUCUUCCCUAACCCACCAGGGGACUUUGGGUAAGUCCCCAACCUGCUCUGGGCAUCACUUUCCUCACCAUGAUUUGAAGGGUUUGGACAAGAUCAUCUCAAGAGUUUUUUCUAGCUUGGUGAUUUUAGGUUUCGUUAGAUAUAAUGCUUCUACGUUUUGGGUGACUUUAAUUCUGUUCCGUCAUUCUGAAGCAGCCUUCUGGCUUCCUUCCCUGCCUUAUUGCCCUCUCUCUUUCCUCUUUUGUUUUUGUUUUUUCACUCUUUUGUCUCCUCUCAAAGCUCAGGUGAGAGUGGUGAUCCUCAUUGAUAGAGGAAAGACUGAAAUUGCCCACCCCCCCAACACUUACGAACUUUUAUAAAAGAAAAUCUUAGACUUUAUACCCUUAAUUUUAGCUUCAGAGAUAAAUGUGUGACAAUAUAUUUGUCUGAAAACAACUCUUCAGAAGGAGUCACACUGGCAAAAUGGCCGGGCUUGUCAGAUCGUAAGAUGGCCACCCAUGCACACUGAUUGGGCACAGUGCCAUCCUGAAGACAUACUAGAAUUAUCUGUCUAUUUCCUAGGGAGUUUGCAAAAUUCUCACAUGAUUAAUUUGGACUUGAGCACAAUGAACCAUCUAAAUCUCUUUAUGGUAGGACACUGGGUGUGCCUGAAGUGUUUACUGACUUGAGGGGAUGUUUUGACCCUGAAAGGUGUGGAGAAGGGUGAGGCCCCUCCUCUUUUGUGGCAGCUGGAGCACCACCCACUGGCAUUCAGGUCACUUAAGGAGUGAGGACUGAAACAAAAGGAGAAAGAAAGAUGGGAAGAAAGGAAAGUGGAAGGAGAAAGUGUGGAGCUAGGAGAUAAAGUCACUACUAAGUACCUGAAUAUGGAAGAAGUGAGAAAGAAAGAGGAAAAGGAGAAGAGGGGAAAAUAAGAUGCUGUCAGAUACGGGCAGGAGAAAUCCUUUAGAGUGCUUUGUGACCACCCAGAAGUAGAAGAAUAAAACUAACGCUAUUAAAAAGCAAUGGAAUCCCUGCCUACUGCUGUUUCUCUGCCUCACAAACUUCUUUUUUCCCCUUUAAAUGCAACAAUAUAUUAACACUCUGUCAGUUGAAGAGUGCUUU
RNAcentral lists this long non-coding RNA (1190 nucleotides) under Equus caballus (horse). Its description in RNAcentral is "lncRNA (ENSECAG00000055806.1)". The record is from RNAcentral. Lineage: Eukaryota; Metazoa; Chordata; Mammalia; Perissodactyla; Equidae.